Molecule: ribosomal RNA, 107 nt
Organism: Leishmania infantum JPCM5
Lineage: Eukaryota; Euglenozoa; Kinetoplastea; Trypanosomatida; Trypanosomatidae
Source: Rfam
GAGCACGACCACACUUGAGUGAAACCACCAUAUCCCGUCCGAUCUGUGAAGUUAAGCCCUCACAGGCUCGGUAAGUGAUGACUCGGGAACCCUGGGUGCCGUGCUCC